RNAcentral lists this long non-coding RNA (1031 nucleotides) under Pogona vitticeps (central bearded dragon). RNAcentral's name for it is "lncRNA (ENSPVIG00000008946.1)". Lineage: Eukaryota; Metazoa; Chordata; Lepidosauria; Squamata; Agamidae. The record is from RNAcentral.
ACCGACUUGGAAGCCGAGCCCUUCUGCUUGCAACACACACACGCACGCACACGAACGCACGUCCCAAAACAAAAGCAGAACAACUUUGAAAGCAAUGAGAGAGAGAGAGAAAAAGGGAAAGGAAAGGAAAGCUUCAAGACGGCGUCUGGGCAGUUGCGGCCGCCGGGCAACACAAUGCUUCUCGCUUCAGGUCAGAAACCUAGCUUAGUAAUUGGAAAGUGACUCAACUGAAUUUAAACAGACUGAAAUUGACCAGACGCCGGUCCCUUUCUCUCGGGGGCGAGAGCGAGCGAGCGAGAGAUAGAGAAAGGAAGAGAACUAGGGAACUCAGGUCCCCCAAAUGUUAUCCACUCUUCUCAGGAUUCUCAGCCUUUUAACACUUGCGCCAAGAGCGAGGAAGUGUCUGCGCGCGCGCGCCCCAUUCGAAUUUGUGUUUGUCAGAUGGGGUCAAGAACAAAGAGGGCGCCCUCUUGCUCCUAUUAGAUAAAUGGGGAUGGGGUAAUGAGCAGACGAGUUGCCAUAUGGUGUAAGACACGGAUAAACAAGAAACCGUUCCAGACGACAAACGUCCCCUGCUUCGGUCUAUGGGUCGGUUGCUGCGCCAGGCAGGAAAAGAGAAGUUUGAAUGGAAAGCGUGCCAGUAAAUAUUAAGACCAGAAGAAAAGUCUUCGGUUAUUACCCUGUAUUCUUAAAUUUUAAACUUCAGCAAGGGACAAUGCCAAAAAGGAAGACUUUCAAGACAACUAUUGGCACAUUGUUAACCACAACAAGAUAAAAGGAUGCAACAUCAGGACGAUUGUUCUCAUCCAGUCUUGCCUGCCAAAGCGGGUGAUGCCAAAGAAUAAGCGAUGAAUCACUCAGGAUGGUAGCUGGUGCUGCAGAAAAACAAAUUACUUGUGUAAUUGCAACCACAAUGACAUAGAGUAACAUUUGCACUAUUAAUGUUAUUCAUGGGCCUUAUCUGGUAGCACUGCUACUCUGGAGUGGGCUGAACCAAAGAACAGCCAGGAAUAAAUGGCAACCGUAAUACA